UACGUAGGGCGCAAGCGUUGUCCGGAAUUAUUGGGCGUAAAGAGCUCGUAGGCGGUCUGUCGCGUCGAUCGUGAAAACUCGGGGCUCAACCCCGAGCCUGCAGUCGAUACGGGCAGGCUAGAGUUCGGUAGGGGAGACUGGAAUUCCUGGUGUAGCGGUGAAAUGCGCAGAUAUCAGGAGGAACACCGAUGGCGAAGGCAGAUCUCUGGGCCGUAACUGACGCUGAGGAGCGAAAGCGUGGGGAGCGAACAGG
Molecule: ribosomal RNA, 253 nt
Filed under: uncultured bacterium
Lineage: Bacteria
Description: partial 16S ribosomal RNA
Rfam family: Bacterial small subunit ribosomal RNA
Source: RNAcentral